GAUGAACGCUGGCGGCGUGCCUAAUACAUGCAAGUCGAGCGAACAGACGAGGAGCUUGCUCCUCUGACGUUAGCGGCGGACGGGUGAGUAACACGUGGAUAACCUACCUAUAAGACUGGUAUCACUUCGGGAAACCGGAGCUAAUCCCGGAUAAUAUAUUGAACCGCAGUGUUCAAUAGUGAAAGACGGUUUUGCUGUCACUUAUAGAUGCAUCCGGGCGGCUUUAGCUAGUUGUUAAGGUAACGGGUUACCAAGGCAACGAGGCGUAGCCGAACUGAGAGGGUGAUCGGCCACCCUGGAGCUGAGACACGGACCAGACUACUAAGAGAGGCAGCAGUCGGGAAUCUUCCGCAGUGGGCGAAAGCCUGACGGAGCAACGCCGAGUGAGUGAUGAAGGUCUUGGGAGCGUAAUACUCGGUUAUUAGGGAAGAACAGCUGUGUAAGUAACUGUGCCCGGCUUGACGGUAACUAAUCAGAAAGCAACGGCUAACUACGUG
This 497-nucleotide ribosomal RNA is filed under the name uncultured bacterium. RNAcentral describes it as "partial 16S ribosomal RNA". It matches the Rfam family "Bacterial small subunit ribosomal RNA", at positions 28 to 507 of the family's 1533-position model. The record is from RNAcentral.